CGGGGGGAGCAAGCGUUGUUCGGAUUUACUGGGCGUAAAGGGCGCGUAGGCGGCCACCGCAAGUCGACUGUGAAAUCUCCGGGCUUAACCCGGAAAGGUCAGCCGAUACUGCGGGGCUAGAGUGCAGAAGGGGCAACUGGAAUUCUCGGUGUAGCGGUGAAAUGCGUAGAUAUCGAGAGGAACACCUGCGGCGAAGGCGGGUUGCUGGGCUGACACUGACGCUGAUGCGCGAAAGCUAGGGGAGCGAACGGGAUUAGAUACCCCGGUAGUCCUAGCCUUAAACGAUGAAUGCUUGGUGUCUGGGGUUUUAUAGUCCCCGAGUGCCGUCGCUAACGCUUUAAGCAUUCCGCCUGGGGAGUACGGUCGCAAGACUG
This 374-nucleotide ribosomal RNA is filed under the name uncultured organism. RNAcentral describes it as "bacterial SSU rRNA". It matches the Rfam family "Bacterial small subunit ribosomal RNA", at positions 526 to 896 of the family's 1533-position model. The record is from RNAcentral.